This 425-nucleotide ribosomal RNA is filed under the name Trachepyris sp. RNAcentral's name for it is "partial large subunit ribosomal RNA". Lineage: Eukaryota; Metazoa; Arthropoda; Insecta; Hymenoptera; Bethylidae. The record is from RNAcentral.
AAAACAUUUUUUAUUAUUAAAAAUAAUAAAUAAAUUCUGCCCAAUGAUUAUUUUAAUGGCUGCAGUAAUUUAACUGUACUAAGGUAGCAUAAUAAAUUGUUUUUUAAAUGAAAACUAGAAUGAAUGAGUUGAUGAAAUAUAGACUUUAUUUAAAUUAUUUAUUGAAUUUAAUUUUUUAGUUAAAAAGCUUAAAUUUAUUUAUAAGACGAGAAGACCCUAUAGAAUUUUAUAUAAUAAUUUUAUAUGUAUAUAAUAUUAAUUAUAUAAUUAUAUAUUUAUUUGGGAGGAAUAUUAAAAUUAAUAACUUUAAUUAAUUAAUUACAUGGAUUUAUGAUAUAAAUAGAUUUUUAUGAAAAUGUAAAAUUAAAUUACCUUAGGGAUAACAGCGUAAUAUUUUUUUAUAGUUCUUAUUGAAAAAAAUGUUU